UGGCGAACGGGUGAGUAACACGUGGGCAACCUGCCCAAAANAGGGGGAUAACACUUGGAACAGGUGCUAAUACCGCAUAACCAUAGUUACCGCAUGGUAACUAUGUAAAAGGUGGCUAUGCUACCGCUUUUGGAUGGGCCCGCGGCGCAUUAGCUAGUUGGUGGGGUAAAGGCUUACCAAGGCAAUGAUGCGUAGCCGAACUGAGAGGUUGAUCGGCCACAUUGGGACUGAGACACGGCCCAAACUCCUACGGGAGGCAGCAG
This 263-nucleotide ribosomal RNA is filed under the name uncultured bacterium. RNAcentral describes it as "partial 16S ribosomal RNA". It matches the Rfam family "Bacterial small subunit ribosomal RNA", at positions 96 to 354 of the family's 1533-position model. The record is from RNAcentral.